Long non-coding RNA from Panthera uncia (snow leopard), 3156 nucleotides. RefSeq lists it as uncharacterized. The transcript is spliced from 2 exons. NCBI's taxonomy places the organism in Eukaryota, Metazoa, Chordata, Mammalia, Carnivora, Felidae. The record is from RefSeq and is a predicted model, not a curated record.
CCUGUGCCUAGCUCCGUGUUUGGAACUAGGGAAGACAGUGACCAGUCAGAUGUUCCCUGUGCCAUGAGGACACACAGAGCUGGCCUUUUGGAAGGAGGUAGCAGGAUAGGGCUGGUGACAGUUGCCCAGAUUUCUCUCAAAUGGAAAGGGGAGGGGGCCCAGAGGAUCCUGUGGGUUCCCGGAAGUGCGGGGAAGUGCAUGGAAAGCAUGCUAGAGAGCUUGGCCGGGUCCUUGCAGCAGUACGGCCGGAGGGUGGUGUAGGUCCAGCCCCCGGAUGGGGAUAUGACCAAGUUAAAUUUGAGUCGCUUGAAUUUAAAUCACUGAUGAGGCUGACUUGACUUGAAUGUUAACAGAUUAACUUCUCUGUUGGUCGGAAAUGGGGGCUCGUUACAAGGAUAGGGUUGAGUUGUCAAGAAAACCACAUUUUUGCAUACCUGAAUUUGGAAGACUGCCAUGUAUUCUGGAAUUUUCAUCUGUUACAAUUGGAAAAGUCAACAUAGAAGGGUGUGGAAGGUGUGGACCUAGAGAGCAGGGGUGUAUGGUUUCUUUGUUAGUGGUCUAGGGGUUACUCCUCUCCACUAGAAGGCCUUCGACUUAGGUUUCAUGGGGGAGGGAUGUGCUCUGGAAACUGGGUCAGGCAUCACUGUAAAGCUGCUUUGGGGGAGUCCAAGGUGGGGCCUGGGGUUGGGGUGUGCUAUAGGCUAGAGAAGACUGUGCCCCAGUUCUACCCUUGACCCAGCCAGCCUCUGCAAACCCUGGGGCUCCAGAGGGUGGAGUCGUAUGGGAAAUAAUCAAUACCACUGGAGGCCUGUCACUCAGCCUCAAACCCUGCUCACGAGAGAGCAAAAGUAUAAGAGAGAAGCCCCUAGAUUCUUUUUUUUUUUUAAUUUUUUUUCCGUCUAUUUUAAAGACAGCAAGAGCAUGAGUGUGGGGGAAGGGCACAGGGAGAGAGAGAGAUUGAGGCGAGAAUCUCAAGCAGGCUCCGUGCUCAGCCCUGGAGUCUGACGCAGGGCUCUAUCCUGUGACCCCGGGACCAUGACCUGAGCUCAAAUCAAGAGUUGGACGCUCAACCGAGCCACCCAGGCACCCCGAGAAGCCCCUGAGUUCUGAGGGGGUGAAGGAACUGUGGGGCCCUGGGAGGGAGAAGCCUUUGAUCCUGGUUAAGACCCCCUCCUUAAUUCUGCCUUUUCUGACCCUCAUGUGGGUCAGCAUUGUUCCUGUCCUGAAGCAUAUUUAUUCCUAAGUACACUGAAAGGAUGAGUUUAUUUAUUCCUUCACUUGAUUGGUUAAUAGGACACAGGUCCUACCGCAGAGCCCAUUAGAGCACACGUCAGGGCAGGAGGGCUUCUCCAGCAGUGCAUAAACUACCUCCAGGAAAUCACCUACCUUCUCUGGGUCAGGACUGCUGAGAGGGGCUGGUGGUGCCAGUAUGUAACGCUCCCUUGAGGAUUUAUAGAGGCACACCUCAAAAUAAUGAGGGAGGUAAUAACCUAACAGCUAUGGCUUAGUGAGCCCUUACUACGGUCCGUACGUCGUUUAAAGCAGCUCAUUUUCCCAGGUGUUUCCUACACCCUUUGAUCAUGAGAUGUAGAGCCAAUUCGCGUAAGAAAAGAGCCAUCAGUAUAAUAGAAAUGACCAAGACCUGGCAGACCUGAGCCGAGGCCCCAGAGAGGGGGUUUCUUCUGCACCUCAGAGCCAGAUGGUUUCUGUCUCCUGCUUCCCCAGCCGGAUCCUGGUCUGGUCUAGCUGGAGAGUGGAGAGGAAGCGGUGUGAAUCUUGGAACUGACCAGUCGGGAAAUGCUGGCUGGGGUGGAGGUCCCUCGGUGACAGGCCUGCGAAAGGACUGUGCAGAGGUUCAGAAAAUAAGUUCACCUACUUCUGUUGGCUCAGAGCUGGCCUGAAUUUUUAAUUGAAGCAAAUUAAAACUUCCCAAAAAGAUUAGUCCACUUUCUUGGUGGUGUGCACACCCCCUUCCCCAUCAGCACUUUUGCACCAUCUGCGAACAAGCCGGUAUUGGCCCCAAGAGAGACCUUCCCCAGCCGCUGGCCCAGAGCUACGGUUCAGAAAGGUCGGGCCCAUUUAUAAGGACUUCUCCAGAAGUCCCGUCAGAUGGUCCCUAUGGGGCAGACUAAUGUUUAGUCAUCGUAGUGUGAUUUGCAAAGCGGUGUGAGGCUGGUGUAGUUCACGAGGAACUUCUUCCAUUUCUUUGUGCCUAAAAUCUCUACGGGCUUCUUUGUCUUCUUUAACAAGUCAGUGGAGUCCUCUGCGCCCUUUGUCCUGUGGUUGCUCUUUCUUUGGUGACCCAGAAGACAGGUGCUGGUAUCAGCCACCGAAGAAGUGGACGAUGGUGAGGCCAUUACCAUUACCACUCUCGGAAGCAUCUGGCCUUUAGCGCCACGCCUCACCAGGUGCCAGGAUGCACCUGCUUCUGACACUCUGCUGCCCUCUGAGCGGAUGGGACCUGCUUUGCUACUGAUGCUUGUGCACAGAUGGCCGUCAGCAAGCACUGGCCUCUCACGCCCUGGAGUGGCCCCAGGGAUUGACCUGUCCAUCCAGUCUGGCCUUUCCCCUCUAACAAGUGCUCAUUGAUCAUCUGUCUGGCCUUGGGCUUGCUGGCAGUGCAGGCCUGAAGCAGUAGAGAGAAAGGAGUCACUCCCUAAAAACGUCACUAACAGCACUAUGCCACAUUUUCUGUAGAAAUAAGGGUCCACCCUUGCUGAUGGGUCACUUCACGUGGAAUGAAGAGUCACAUCCCUCCCCCUUUGCCAGGAUGCCACGUUGGCUUCUGAGAAGACCCUCCCCGGAUCGCUUAGGCGUGGUUGGAAGUUCAGCCACAGUGCUGGGCUGCGCGUUGCCUGUCUGCAGGUGCGUGCAGUAUUUUGCAUCUGUGUACUCACGAGUGCGUGUGAGGUGAUGGUCAUCCAGGGAAAGGCACGGUGGAUUCGAUCCAGAAGGUCCAGGCUUAUGCCUUAGUUUUGUGGCUGACUAUUCCACCACGGGCAGGUCACUUGUCCUUACCGAUCUGUGGCACCUCGAUCUACAGCGAGGAUGAGACUCAUCCAUAACUUGCCAGUUCACCAAAUCGUGGAGUGCAGUAAUGCAUGUGGAAGUGCUGUGUGAGCCAGAAAGCAGUAAAUAAAUGCUGGUUUAAACAAA